AGUGAACGCUGGCGGUAGGCCUAACACAUGCAAGUCGAACGGCAGCACAGGAGAGCUUGCUCUCUGGGUGGCGAGUGGCGGACGGGUGAGGAAUACAUCGGAAUCUACUUUUUCGUGGGGGAUAACGUAGGGAAACUUACGCUAAUACCGCAUACGACCUACGGGUGAAAGCAGGGGGCCUUCGGGCCUUGCGCGAUUGAAUGAGCCGAUGUCGGAUUAGCUAGUUGGCGGGGUAAGGGCCCACCAAGGCGACGAUCCGUAGCUGGUCUGAGAGGAGUGUCAGCCACACUGGAACUGAGACACGGUCCAGACUCCUACGGGAGGCAGCAGUGGGGAAUAUUGGACAAUGGGCGCAAGCCUGAUCCAGCCAUACCGCGUGUGUGAAGAAGGCCUUCGGGUUGUAAAGCCCUUUUGUUGGGAAAGAAAGCCAUCUGGUUAAUACCCGGGUGGGAUGACGGUACCCAAAGAAUAAGCACCGGCUAACUUCGUGCCAGCCGCCGCAGUAA
RNAcentral lists this ribosomal RNA (506 nucleotides) under uncultured bacterium. RNAcentral's name for it is "partial 16S ribosomal RNA". It matches the Rfam family "Bacterial small subunit ribosomal RNA", at positions 29 to 523 of the family's 1533-position model. The record is from RNAcentral.